Molecule: ribosomal RNA, 252 nt
Filed under: uncultured bacterium
Lineage: Bacteria
Description: partial 16S ribosomal RNA
Rfam family: Bacterial small subunit ribosomal RNA
Source: RNAcentral
GACGAACCGUGCGAACGUUGUUCGGAAUCACUGGGCUUAAAGGGCGCGUAGGCGGGUGGUUAAGUCAGGGGUGAAAUCCUCCCGCUCAACGGGAGAACAGCUUUUGAUACUGGCCAUCUUGAGGGGGGUAGGGGCAUGUGGAACUUCCGGUGGAGCGGUGAAAUGCGUAGAUAUCGGAAGGAACGCCGGUGGCGAAAGCGACGUGCUGGACCCUUUCUGACGCUGAGGCGCGAAAGCCAGGGGAGCAAACGG